GACGAACGCUGGCGGCGUGCCUAAUACAUGCAAGUUGAGCGAUGAAGAUUGGUGCUUGCACCAAUUUGAAGAGCAGCGAACGGGUGAGUAACGCGUGGGGAAUCUGCCUUUGAGCGGGGGGCAACAUUUGGAAACGAAUGCUAAUACCGCAUAACAACUUUAAACAUAAGUUUUAAGUUUGAAAGAUGCAAUUGCAUCACUCAAAGAUGAUCCCGCGUUGUAUUAGCUAGUUGGUGAGGUAAAGGCUCACCAAGGCGAUGAUACAUAGCCGACCUGAGAGGGUGAUCGGCCACAUUGGGACUGAGACACGGCCCAAACUCCUACGGGAGGCAGCAGUAGGGAAUCUUCGGCAAUGGACGAAAGUCUGACCGAGCAACGCCGCGUGAGUGAAGAAGGUUUUCGGAUCGUAAAACUCUGUUGGUAGAGAAGAACGUUGGUGAGAGUGGAAAGCUCAUCAAGUGACGGUAACUACCCAGAAAGGGACGGCUAACUACGU
RNAcentral lists this ribosomal RNA (496 nucleotides) under uncultured bacterium. RNAcentral's name for it is "partial 16S ribosomal RNA". It matches the Rfam family "Bacterial small subunit ribosomal RNA", at positions 28 to 506 of the family's 1533-position model. The record is from RNAcentral.